GUCUACAGCCAUGCUCCCCUGAACAAGCUCGAUCCUGUCUGAUCUCUAAAGCUAAGUUUGGUUGGGCCUGGUUAGUACUUGGAUGGGAGACCACCUAGGAAGAUCAGGAACUGUAGGUG
Ribosomal RNA from Pteropus vampyrus (large flying fox), 119 nucleotides. NCBI's taxonomy places the organism in Eukaryota, Metazoa, Chordata, Mammalia, Chiroptera, Pteropodidae. The record is from Ensembl.